RNAcentral lists this unclassified non-coding RNA (253 nucleotides) under Hevea brasiliensis (rubber tree). Lineage: Eukaryota; Viridiplantae; Streptophyta; Magnoliopsida; Malpighiales; Euphorbiaceae. The record is from RNAcentral.
CGGGGGCAAAGGCCUAGUUCUUAUAAAAUCUUGAACCACACCCACGUUGAAGACCCAUCAAUUAUGAGCACAUGUUGGGAUGAUUGUCAUGUUUUUCCUGAAUCAUAUUCAAGAUAUUGCUCUUGUAAAUCUGCAAGCAACACCAGGAUAUGGUAACACAUAUGGUAGUGAUACAUUAGUAUAGGUUCCAAGUUUCCAUCAAGAUAAAGCUACCAACACUUAAUAGGUGUCUGUUCCUUUGAAUCCAUUUCUG